Molecule: long non-coding RNA, 2167 nt
Organism: Setaria italica (foxtail millet)
Lineage: Eukaryota; Viridiplantae; Streptophyta; Magnoliopsida; Poales; Poaceae
Exons: 2
Source: RefSeq, a predicted model, not a curated record
CUCAGCACGUUUCGCACAAAGCACGCAGGUCCAACUGAAAAGCUUUUGGUUAGUUCGCUCGCCGGUCCGUUGGAAAUAAUCGCGCGUGCACCCACAAGGCCACAAGACUACAAGAGGCGUGGCCGGCGCACCGAGCACCAGUACCACGCGGCCGUUAAUGCGGAUCCAUGACCACUGCCCAAGUUGCACGCUGCCACAACCGACCGAGCGCCGCUGCCCACACCACAACGCAAGCGUCCAACGCCGGGCACCACCACCACCUACCACCCACCAGCCGAGCCGAAACUGAGAGAGAGGAGCGUGCACGCUGCCCAUGCUCGCGCUCGCCCCUAACCUUCCAGCCUUCCUUCCUUUCCUGGGUCACGAUCCGGGCAUGUGCGCCGGAGCUGUGGUGCACACAAGCAAAGCAAAAUCCAAGGAACACUCGCCCCCAGGGGGCGUCCGUACCGCCCCGCCCGCUUGGCAGCUCGCACCCCAGCCACAGCCAGCCAGUGGGCGCGCGCGCGCGUGCCGUGCCGACGUCCCCCACCGCGCGCGCAGCCGAGGAGGACCACCGCUUCUCGCCCUGUAGCGUGCGUACCCGGGCGGGGCGAGCAAGUCAUUGGCGUGGCGGCCAGCGACACGGCGGCUGCUGCUGCUGCGGCGUGCGCCGUGACAAAAUAGCGGGCCGCGACAAGGGGGAGACUGGGGGAGAGGGGAGACGGUGACCCACCGUGGUGGAUGCGGACGACGCCGACGCCGAGUUAUUGCUCAGGGCGCGGACAGAUCGGCUAGGCGGCUCGAACGAAACGAAAGCCGGGGGGCGUGGGGAAUUGCUAUCGCGAGGAGGCGGGAGGAGGCCCAUGCGCGGAGACGUGUCUCUCGAUCGGCUGGGCUCUCGCCUCUCGGUCUCUCGGGUCCCCGGCCUCACGUAUGAUCGCGGAAGCGGUGGGUGCUGGAACAGGAAAUUGGGAGACGACGCUGCGGUGCGGUACUGCGGGCAGAGGAACGCAGCUUCUUUCCCUGUUCUUCCCGAUUGUGGGAAGAAAACCAAAAAACCAUCGUACGUGCGAGGGACAUGUUCUUCCCGCACUGUCCGAGCUGAAUUUCCAAGGGUGAAAGGCGCUGGCAAUUAGUUUUCCUCGCACGUUGGCAGGCCACCCUUUCGGGUGAGUAGUCGCUUCCGAGGAAACAAUUGCGACAGCAAUGCCUCAUGGCUAAUUGGUCACGUCAAGUGUUCCAGCUGCGGCAUGUCUGGAUGCGCUUGUCGUGACACCCUGCUCUCGGCCAUGAGCCUCAAGCAUGCAUGGCUUAACAUUUUCCUCGUGUUGGGUGGCUUCUGGCAUGCACCAUGUAAGUACAUGUACUAGAGAGCUACCACAUGAUUGGGAGCUGGGCAGGUGGGCAGUGGGCUUGACCUUGAUAUUGUGGGAGAUUAUGAAAUCCCGCUGACUUUUGUUUGAACCACCACAGUUUCAUGCAAGGCACCACCGCUCGGUCCACCCGUGGUUAGGAAUAAUUUUUUGCCCCCAAACAAUGUUUCCAGUGAGCUGCCUAGACUGAAUCGAGACUGCCAUGUCUGCGUUCUUAUCCAUUCAGAUCCAAGCAUUAUGCUACGGGUAGAGUGUGAGCUAAGCUACGGGUAGAGUGGGAUGAUUCUUGUCGCCCCCCAACUUCUCACCCUGUCUGAGCUAAGCUGUCUUGAAGAAAGGUCAUACAAGAGGACAAAAGAGGAGUGUGAAGACCAAACAAAUUGGAACACAUGGAUUCCAAUCUGAAAGCAAUAAGACAAGAGGCCUACAAUUAUUUGCAGCUGCAAAAGGAGAGGCUAAGAUACAUGGAACAAAGACAAAAACUAUGAGACACGCCUGACAACUGCAUUUCUGCUGAGUACACCUUGUAUGAUUGGCUAAAGAAUCAUUGCACGCACGUUAAAAACUGGUGCAAAUGUCAAUCUGUGGGAAAAAGGCAGAACAUUAUAUACGUCAUGCUUUAGCCUGAAAAUGAGAGAACCUGGAAGUGCCAUGGCGGCACCACUAAUGAUCCUAACGAAUAUAUAUGCAGAUCUGUAGUGCUAUCUCCAAUAUGUUUGGUUCCUUUCAUUCGACCAUGAUGGACAAGCUCAUGUACCUUUUGUUUGUAUCACCAUUUGAGCUGCUAUGAAAUCAUCAAAGUUCUUUCUGGUUUA